Chroicocephalus ridibundus (black-headed gull) is the source of this 1215-nucleotide long non-coding RNA. RefSeq lists it as uncharacterized. The record is from RefSeq and is a predicted model, not a curated record. NCBI's taxonomy places the organism in Eukaryota, Metazoa, Chordata, Aves, Charadriiformes, Laridae. The transcript has 3 exons.
GCUUGCGUGCACUGGCGGGUCUCCAUGAAAGUACAUUACCUCAUAAAUACACGGACUCCGCUUGAUUUUCAUCCAAAGCUGAGUCACAGGUCGCUUACCAGAGUAACAGGGAUGAGUAGCAAAGAACAGAGCUGAGUAACGGACAUUGAAUUGGAACCAUGGAGGUUGGAAGAGAUGUCCAGAGCAGGUCGAAGGAGAGCAUGUUGCUCAGGACUUUGCCCAGACAUAUUUUGAAUGUCUCCAAGGAUGAAGAUCCCACCAACACUAGAGGACCUCUUCCAAUGCCUGAACCAAAGCCAUGAUGAGUUUUGGAUCCAGCCCUGAAUUCUUCCCCUGAGGCCUAUCUUUGCUUUGUAUGAGUGACAGAAAAAUUGUGUAUUUCUAGUUUUUAUUACCAGAGAAAGGUACUUUAUGUUGUGGAUAUUCAAUCUAUUGGCGUGACAUGAUGAUAUUGAUGAAGUGUGGUAAGGAAACGCUUCGGUUCUAAUGAUUUGAUUUCAUUUUGGUUUGACUCCUAUUUCAACACUCCAAACUUUUAAAAGUAUGGGCCAUGUGAGAUGUAAAAUAUAUAUAUCGAUGUCACUAAUCGGAAGCUCUUUCUGGUCACGUUGUAAAGCACACUUAAUCAACUUCUUUAAGAUCAUGUUACAGAAAGCUAUUAACUAUACUCUUAAAACAGUUAAAUAGUUAUAAAUAAUGUUUUAUAUUAUGGCUGACAACACUGAAUUGCCCAGCGUUUAAGGAAAUCUAAUCACAGGGCAUGCAGACAUUGCCUUCCAGUAAGAUGGCGUGGCAAAACUUUGGAACAUAUAAGAAAUCACAUACUAUUGCUAACAUUUCCUAUUAAGGAGAAAGUCUCUCUCUGUAUAUUUUGGAUUUCUUUUCCAACACUUAAUUGCAGCUGAUGAAGAAAAGCUAUUCAAAAGCUGCCAGGAUUUUUAAAUCUGUAUGAGUGAGAUUGAUGAAAUUUGUGGGUUUUCCCCAAAGAGCAUAGGUGAGAGCAGACAUGUAAAUUUUGUAUGUGUGUGCAUGUACGGGUGUGACAGCGAGAGGAGAGAGCAAGAGCUUACUCCUAAGGUGUGAGACUUGGCAGCGCUGCACUGUACAAUGGGCACGAGAAACCGCAUGUCUGACUGCAUUUGAAUUGCUGUUAUUUCACUGUUGGGUUACUGUAUUGUUAAAGUGAAAAGGAAUGUUUUUAAUAAAUGCAAAUAA